This 588-nucleotide unclassified non-coding RNA is filed under the name Penicillium chrysogenum. RNAcentral describes it as "sequence contains 18S rRNA gene, ITS1, 5.8S rRNA gene, ITS2, 28S rRNA gene". The stretch from base 218 to 370 matches the Rfam family "5.8S ribosomal RNA". The record is from RNAcentral. Lineage: Eukaryota; Fungi; Ascomycota; Eurotiomycetes; Eurotiales; Aspergillaceae.
GUAACAAGGUUUCCGUAGGUGAACCUGCGGAAGGAUCAUUACCGAGUGAGGGCCCUCUGGGUCCAACCUCCCACCCGUGUUUAUUUUACCUUGUUGCUUCGGCGGGCCCGCCUUAACUGGCCGCCGGGGGGCUUACGCCCCCGGGCCCGCGCCCGCCGAAGACACCCUCGAACUCUGUCUGAAGAUUGUAGUCUGAGUGAAAAUAUAAAUUAUUUAAAACUUUCAACAACGGAUCUCUUGGUUCCGGCAUCGAUGAAGAACGCAGCGAAAUGCGAUACGUAAUGUGAAUUGCAAAUUCAGUGAAUCAUCGAGUCUUUGAACGCACAUUGCGCCCCCUGGUAUUCCGGGGGGCAUGCCUGUCCGAGCGUCAUUGCUGCCCUCAAGCACGGCUUGUGUGUUGGGCCCCGUCCUCCGAUCCCGGGGGACGGGCCCGAAAGGCAGCGGCGGCACCGCGUCCGGUCCUCGAGCGUAUGGGGCUUUGUCACCCGCUCUGUAGGCCCGGCCGGCGCUUGCCGAUCAACCCAAAUUUUUAUCCAGGUUGACCUCGGAUCAGGUAGGGAUACCCGCUGAACUUAAGCAUAUCAAUAA